This 497-nucleotide ribosomal RNA is filed under the name uncultured bacterium. RNAcentral's name for it is "partial 16S ribosomal RNA". It matches the Rfam family "Bacterial small subunit ribosomal RNA", at positions 28 to 507 of the family's 1533-position model. The record is from RNAcentral.
GAUGAACGCUGGCGGCGUGCCUAAUACAUGCAAGUCGAGCGAACGGACGAGAAGCUUGCUUCUCUGAUGUUAGCGGCGGACGGGUGAGUAACACGUGGAUAACCUACCUAUAAGACUGGGAUAACUUCGGGAAACCGGAGCUAAUACCGGAUAAUAUUUUGAACCGCAUGGUUCAAAAGUGAAAGGCGGUCUUUCUGUCACUUAUAGAUGGAUCCGCGCUGCAUUAGCUAGUUGGUAAGGUAACGGCUUACCAAGGCAACGAUGCAUAGCCGACCUGAGAGGGUGAUCGGCCACACUGGAACUGAGACACGGUCCAGACUCCUACGGGAGGCAGCAGUAGGGAAUCUUCCGCAAUGGGCGAAAGCCUGACGGAGCAACGCCGCGUGAGUGAUGAAGGUCUGCGGAUCGUAAAACUCUGUUAUUAGGGAAGAACAUAUGUGUAAGUAACUGUGCACAUCUUGACGGUACCUAAUCAGAAAGCCACGGCUAACUACGUG